GGCGGCGUGCCUAACACAUGCAAGUCGGACGCGAAAGGGGGCAACCCUGAGUAGAGUGGCGUCCGGGUGAGUAACACGUGGAUAAUCUACCUGCGGGUGGGGAAUAACUUUCCGAAAGGGAAGCUAAUACCGCAUAACAUUUUCUGGGGGCAGCCUCGGGAGAUCAAAGUGGGGGAUCGCAAGACCUCACGCCUGUAGAGGAGUCCGCGGCUGAUUAGCUAGUUGGUGAGGUAAUGGCUCACCAAGGCUACGAUCAGUAGCCGGCCUGAGAGGGCGGUCGGCCACACUGGCACUGAAACACGGGCCAGACUCCUACGGGAGGCAGCAGUGGGGAAUUUUGGGCAAUGGCCGAAAGGCUGACCCAGCAACGCCGCGUGAAGGAUGAAAUCUUUCGGGAUGUAAACUUCGUAAGUCAGGGAAGAAUAAACGUAACCUAAUACGUUAUGAUAUGACGGUACCUGACGUAAGCCCCGGCUAACUCCGUGCCAGCAGCCGCGGUAAUACGGGGGGGGCAAGCGUUGUUCGGAAUUACUGGGCGUAAAGGGCGCG
Molecule: ribosomal RNA, 549 nt
Filed under: uncultured Acidobacteriota bacterium
Lineage: Bacteria; Pseudomonadati; Acidobacteriota
Description: bacterial SSU rRNA
Rfam family: Bacterial small subunit ribosomal RNA
Source: RNAcentral